CUAAUACCGUAUAACAAUCGAAACCGCAUGGUUUUGAUUUGAAAGGCGCUUUCGGGUGUCGCUGAUGGAUGGACCCGCGGUGCAUUAGCUAGUUGGUGAGGUAACGGCUCACCAAGGCCACGAUGCAUAGCCGACCUGAGAGGGUGAUCGGCCACAUUGGGACUGAGACACGGCCCAAACUCCUACGGGAGGCAGCAGUAGGGAAUCUUCGGCAAUGGACGAGAGUCUGACCGAGCAACGCCGCGUGAGUGAAGAAGGUUUUCGGAUCGUAAAACUCUGUUGUUAGAGAAGAACAAGGAUGAGAGUAACUGUUCAUCCCUUGACGGUAUCUAACCAGAAAGCCACGGCUAACUACGUGCCAGCAGCCGCGGUAAUACGUAGGUGGCAAGCGUUGUCCGGAUUUAUUGGGCGUAAAGCGAGCGCAGGCGGUUUCUUAAGUCUGAUGUGAAAGCCCCCGGCUCAACCGGGGAGGGUCAUUGGAAACUGGGAGACUUGAGUGCAGAAGAGGAGAGUGGAAUUCCAUGUGUAGCGGUGAAAUGCGUAGAUAUAUGGAGGAACACCAGUGGCGAAGGCGGCUCUCUGGUCUGUAACUGACG
This 596-nucleotide ribosomal RNA is filed under the name Enterococcus faecium. RNAcentral's name for it is "bacterial SSU rRNA". It matches the Rfam family "Bacterial small subunit ribosomal RNA", at positions 163 to 745 of the family's 1533-position model. Lineage: Bacteria; Bacillati; Bacillota; Bacilli; Lactobacillales; Enterococcaceae. The record is from RNAcentral.